UAUGGUAAAAAUAAACAUUUUGACAUGACUGUCUCAGUUCAACAGUAUAGAGUGUAUUACAUAUACAUUUUUUUCCACACUCUCUUCUCACAAACUUUGUAAAAAAAUAUAAUACAAUAGAAUUUUUAAACCCAUUUAGUGAGUAACUAUGCUAUGUCCAUUUAUUGUUAUUGCUACAUUUUGGUUAUGUGUGUACUGUAUACGUAGUAAUCUGACUGGAGAACAGGAAUGAUUUUUACAGAAACUGUAUCAACUAUAACAAGAUAUAUUGGCCUAAAAGUACAUUUAUACAUUGAAAAUUGUAUUUUCUUGGUUUUCUCUUGGUUUUUUCUGUGAUCAGUUUUAUUUUGUCCAUCAGAUGUUAUUAACAGCAAGUUAAUCAAGUGUAUCACCAACUUUAGUGUGUUUGUUUUUCACUUUUAGGCCCUGUUUUAUUAGGGUUUGUUAUGCUGAUGGAGAUAGGUUAAAGAAAAAUUGUCUGUUCUAUUUAUUCCCCAACCCUCUAUUAUUCCUCCUUUCUACUGUAAUUUACCUAUUCAAAUCCUAAAAGUGAAAAGAUGAGAUGUUAUUUUAUGUAUGAAUUUUAAAUGCCUUUAUGAAUCCUUUCUGAGGUUAACUUUGAGUAUCCCUCUGAGCACAUUUUUCACUUAUCUCACCCACUUUAUACAUUGUUUUCUGAUUCAACUAACUAGUUAGGCCUAGUUAAGUACUUGUGUUUUAGACCAGGGUUAUUUGCCUCCCAUCUCAUAGAAUUCUAAUUCUAAAAGCCUAUCUCUAGUUCUGUAAAUUAUUUGCAUAUCCAAUUAUAAUUGAAGCACUAUUUAAAUCUCACCUCGUGUAAGUGCUGUACCAAAGAUAUAAAUGCCAGUCCCAAUUGUCAUUUUUGUUUUAUAAAUAUCCAUGGUAUAUUUCUUCACAUAUUCUAGAACCACUAUUCAGUUUCUACUUUCUAGCCUACUGUCUCUGAAUUUUCUGUCGUUUAUUCAUUCUCUAUUAAUAAUAUUUCCUUCCUGCAGUCUGCUGUUUGGCCUUGGAUUACUGCCACUCAU
This is a long non-coding RNA of Erpetoichthys calabaricus (reedfish), 1049 nucleotides long. RefSeq lists it as uncharacterized. Lineage: Eukaryota; Metazoa; Chordata; Cladistia; Polypteriformes; Polypteridae. The transcript is spliced from 3 exons. The record is from RefSeq and is a predicted model, not a curated record.